Dicentrarchus labrax (European seabass) is the source of this 1456-nucleotide long non-coding RNA. RefSeq lists it as uncharacterized. The record is from RefSeq and is a predicted model, not a curated record. The transcript is spliced from 2 exons. Lineage: Eukaryota; Metazoa; Chordata; Actinopteri; Moronidae.
CCUGGAGCUGGAGAGAGCAAACGCAACAUUAGUACAAAGCUGCGUCCAAGUAUUUUGGAGCAGGAACUCACCUUCUACCGAAAUCUACAAACAGACUGAAUGCAGAAUCUGUAGACAAGGAACCAAGAAAGAUUUCAUUGGAAGUGUUCUGGUUUCCGAUUGUAAGUAAGUAAUAUUGACCAAUCAUGUUUGAGUAAGCUUUGGUUGCAUCGGCCAUCGGCUAGUGACAGCAUUUGUGUUUAUAGAGAUUAUCUGAAAUGUGUCUUUCUGGUCAUUCUCGUGUAUCAAUCUCACAUUUCUAAUUGAACGGCAGAGGAAGUCUUGGCCUGGAUAUCCUUUUUCCGGCUGGCCAGAAAUACCAAAGCAUCGCGCCCGGAGACUAAAUCGUCAACAGCUGGUGUGCUGCAUUUUUGCAACAGGAAGUUAUCGUCAAGGAUGUGGAGGCGGCUGGUGUCACUAUUACCUGAUCUGUGGAGGCGGCAGGUGGUUCAGAAACCCCUCUGUAGUUGCAAGAAGAAAACCACAAAACGACUAGCAUCAUCGAGCUGAGCAAACCAUGCAACAUGUUUUACAAUUGAGCAGAAUCCAAAAUAAGUAUGAUGUGGUUUGAUGGGGGGACUUUUACUUUUUACUCCACUAUUAUCAUCAACCAGCCGUAGCUGCUGGUUACUUUCCAUAUUAUUUUACAUAUAAUAUGAGAUAUAGACCAGCUCUAUGUAAAGUAGUUAAAAGAAGCUCCACCUGGACCAGCUACAUUGCGACGUCACCCGUUGGCUUGGCGUAUUGGUCGUUGCUGUGACGGUUUGUCGGAGGCGACGUACCGUGAGUUGAUCCGCUCUCAUUGGCUGCGCAGUUUCAACUUGUCCGUAGCAGGAAACAAUGGCUAAAAUAUGUUUCUGAUGGAUUUGAAGAGAGAAAUAGUCAACGCGGUAACAGAAUCUGGAUCCAUAUUUGAUCAGCACUGCCUAGUUUGACAGUUUGAUCUGAGUUUCAAGUUUCACAAGGUAGCUCCGCCCUAAUGCAUACCCUGCUUUAUGGUCUGUUUUACUCUAAAUGAGACCAUCAUUUACUAAAUGAACAUCAUGCUGUAUGGAAGAAGACUUGAAACUAGUGAUUGAGACCAUAAACUCAUUAGGAAACUGUUUACUGAGCUCAUAAAUCAACUGAGAAGUCGACUCAUUUCCUCAUUAGACUCAAUACACUUCGGCGUUGGAUUCACUUCACAGACCCAGAAGCUCUGUUCAUAAUAUAAACUGUAAAUGGUCCUGACCAAACAGCUACAUAGCAAUUUUACUCUUCAGUUUUUGUAUGGAUUAACAAAAACAAGAUACAGAAGCUUUGUAAAAGUUAAUAUUGGGUAAAUGUUGUAUAACCUCACAGGUAAAACCAACAGACACCAUCAUUUAAUAUGCAUACACGUCAUUAACCUGCACUUAAUAAAGCAUUAAUAUUAUAA